RNAcentral lists this unclassified non-coding RNA (216 nucleotides) under Hevea brasiliensis (rubber tree). Lineage: Eukaryota; Viridiplantae; Streptophyta; Magnoliopsida; Malpighiales; Euphorbiaceae. The record is from RNAcentral.
GUCGCAACGGCAGCCGCCUUAACCCCUGCAAUGUUCGCCUCACGCGAGCAGCGCUUGGCCAGGGCGAGCCUCUGCUCCAGGUGAGCACGGGUCACCGUUGCCAUCGCGAUCAAGACGAUGAUGGGAUGGGAGCUGAAGAGAAAGUCUGAAGCGAAGGAGGUGAUUAACCCAAGGAGAUCGAGGAGUACUGGCUACUAGUUUGAUCGAGAGUGAGUU